Long non-coding RNA from Panicum virgatum (switchgrass), 2251 nucleotides. RefSeq lists it as uncharacterized. NCBI's taxonomy places the organism in Eukaryota, Viridiplantae, Streptophyta, Magnoliopsida, Poales, Poaceae. The transcript has 2 exons. The record is from RefSeq and is a predicted model, not a curated record.
UUGGCCGCCUCCUUCCCGAUGACACGCCCCCGUCUACGGAAGCGGCGGCAGACGACAGCAGCGGCCAGGGGGCACGGGGACCUCGGCACCGCGUCCUCACUAGGCGCGCCGCACACGGCUGGGCGGCACGUCUGCAUCCUCGACAGGCGGUGGGGCGGCAUGCCCCGUCCAUGGAAGCGGCGGCGACAGCAGCGGCCGGGCCGCACGGGGACCUCAGCACCGCGUCCUCGCUAGGCGCGCCGCACACGGCUGGGGCGGCGCGUCCCCAUCCUCGGCGGCGUGCGGUGCUCGCCAUGGAUCCCAGCGUCCGCAUCCUCUCUGAGCUCCCAGGUAGCCAAGCUAGCAACAAGGUAGGUGUCUUAAUUAUCAGGGCUGCGGGCCAGCACUAGGCAAGUCUGGCUUGCACGAGACCCAGGCCCUCAGCACUCCUGCACCAUAUAUUACUUUUCGUUCUUUAGUUUCUUUCUCUAGACAAUAGAAUCACUAUCAGUAAUUGCCAAAAGAAGGAUCUUAUUAGGUUUUCUUAUGCAGACAUAAUUGGUCUGUUUGUUUCUGGUAUUUGGGUAAAUUGGGUGUCAUGAUAACUAUAUUCUUUAUAAUGUUAUAUAGCCGUGCUUUGAUUACUGAAUAUAUGUUCCUCACAUCCAAUUUCCAAUCUAAAAGUUAAGAAUCACUGAAUGCAGCACAUAGCAAAUGUUCUAAUGAUGGCAUAUCUGAUAGCCUGACAGUAAACCAAUUAGUGACUAAAUUUAUUUUGCAAGGACCAACCAAAAUAACAUACAUUUUUAUUUCAAAGUGUUGUCACAAGUUAGUUUGUAGAUUAAAAUUUCUUUCCCAGUUAACUAGCUAUAUAUUGAUUAUGUGUUUUUGAUGGGCAAGACCUAUCACUUACACACUCGAUCAUCCAAUGGUCACUGGUCAGAUGUAUAUAACAAUACAUCGAAGCUGCUGGAUGAAUCGCCUUAAAUGAGUGUCUACUUAGAUGGUCAAAUGUGUUUUCUAAACAUAGCUUGAGUAUCAACAUAUAUGAGCUUUGUGAGAACGCUGAAUUUUUUUCGAGGUUCAAACUUAUUUAAAAUGGCAUUUGUGCUUGUGAUACAGUGCACUAUACCGUAAGUCCUUAUUCAUGCUGCACAAGAGCACAAUUCUCAUUCAAUGCAUGCUUGUCCCCAGGGACUGUAAAUUGCAAGGUUUGCUACCACACUCAGAAAGGAGCUGCAAAAUACUACUACAAACCAGGUUAUUACUUCUGGCAAAUUCAAUUGGUUCUGAUUUUACUCCACUCAGUUAUUAAUAUAUGGCACAUUCUUGAUCAUCUUUGAUUUGUGGAUCCAAGGUACCAUAAUUUGUUGCUGGUGCUAAAGUGAUUAAACAUAGUAGUUAGAACUGGGAAUAUGGAUCCAAAAUAUCAUUCGUUGCCUGUGCAUUUGUGCAAUCCAGAUACAUUAAUUUUUGCUCACGAUAUAAUGCGCGACCAUGAAGAUUUUGAUUCUGGGGAAGGUUAAACCUCUUGUCGCGAUUCAUAAUCUGAUGAUAGUUUGUAAAAAUGCUUGUUAGCGAAUCAAAGUACACAAGUACACAUGAUGGCAGUGUCAUCGUUCAUGGCUUUUGUUAUGGUCCUUUCUCAGAAUUUCCCUUAACCUGUUGCUUGCUUUUUUGAAUGAGGAUCAGUUGGAUGAAUCAAUGGGUUGUUAGCUGAAAUCAUUUUUUCCAAGUAUUUCCAUAUGGUUCAGGCUUAUAUUGUGCUCCAGACAAUGGAAGCUCAAUUUCUCUAUGGAUGACCUCUGGUGUGAUAUGAUGCCAAAACUUGCUUACCCACGGUUCUCCUCCUUUGCAUGGAACAAGAAUAUCUCUCUGAUGAAUGCAGCUACAGCUGAACAUUUCAUUCACUCUUCCAUCUGCCUCUAUUAGUCCAAGCACAUGAACAAUACUGCCUACUGCUUGAUCACCUUCAGACCAGACUCAUUAUAGCUUAUCUGAAUAUGAAAAUAUGCAAUCCUUGGAAAUAAUGUGAGCAUAUGGUCAAUAAGGAAUACACUCAUUUUUUUAUAAUGAGAUGCCAUCAGUGCAAAGAUGUCAAGAUUUCAAGUGUGAACUUGCCAUGGUUACCCAUGGAGCACAAAAAGUACUUCGCGACAAUUGUCGAAUGGAUAGACUCCCUGUUGUAUAUAAUUUUGUUCUUUUAUUUUUGUCUUGUUGUAUAUGACUUUUUCUAAUACAUAACCAGUAGGGGCUUGCCUCUCCUGUUCCA